CCUACGGGUGGCAGCAGUGGGGAAUAUUGCACAAUGGGGGAAACCCUGAUGCAGCGACGCCACGUGAGUGAAGAAGUAAUUCGUUACGUAAAGCUCUAUCAGCAGGGAAGAAAAUGACGGUACCUGAGUAAGAAGCCCCGGCUAACUACGUGCCAGCAGCCGCGGUAAUACGUAGGGGGCAAGCGUUAUCCGGAUUGACUGGGUGUAAAGGGAGCGUAGACGGUGCGCCAAGUCUGGAGUGAAAUGCCGCAGCUUAACUGCGGAACUGCUUUGGAAACUGGCGAACUAGAGUGCGGGAGGGGGAAGCGGAAGUGCUAGGGUAGGGGUGAAAUGCGGAGAUAUUAGGAGGAACACCGGUGGCGAAGGCGGAUUACUGGACCGUAACUGACGUUGAGGCUCGAAAGCGUGGGGAGCAAACAGGAUUAGAUACCCCAGUAGUC
Molecule: ribosomal RNA, 440 nt
Filed under: uncultured bacterium
Lineage: Bacteria
Description: partial 16S ribosomal RNA
Rfam family: Bacterial small subunit ribosomal RNA
Source: RNAcentral